CCUACGGGAGGCAGCAGUGGGGAAUAUUGGGCAAUGGAGGAAACUCUGACCCAGCGACGCCGCGUGCGGGAUGAAGGCCUUCGGGUUGUAAACCGCUUUCAGUAGGGAAGAAGCGAAAGUGACGGUACCUACAGAAGAAGCACCGGCUAACUAUGUGCCAGCAGCCGCGGUAAUACAUAGGGUGCAAGCGUUGUCCGGAAUUAUUGGGCGUAAAGAGCUCGUAGGUGGUUCGUCACGUCGGAUGUGAAAAUCUGGGGCUCAACCCCAGACCUGCAUUCGAUACGGGCGAUCUAGAGUGUGGUAGGGGAGACUGGAAUUCCUGGUGUAGCGGUGGAAUGCGCAGAUAUCAGGAGGAACACCAAUGGCGAAGGCAGGUCUCUGGGCCAUUGCUGACACUGAGGAGCGAAAGCGUGGGGAGCGAACAGGAUUAGAUACCCUGGUAGUCCACGCCGUAAACGGUGGGCACUAGUUGUGGGAACCUUCCACGGUUUCUGCGACGCAGCUAACGCAUUAAGUGCCCCGCCUGGGGAGUACGAUCGCAAGAUUAAACUUAAAGGAAUUGACGG
RNAcentral lists this ribosomal RNA (566 nucleotides) under uncultured bacterium. RNAcentral describes it as "bacterial SSU rRNA". It matches the Rfam family "Bacterial small subunit ribosomal RNA", at positions 338 to 916 of the family's 1533-position model. The record is from RNAcentral.